RNAcentral lists this ribosomal RNA (2466 nucleotides) under Triticum aestivum (bread wheat). RNAcentral's name for it is "partial small subunit ribosomal RNA". The record is from RNAcentral. Lineage: Eukaryota; Viridiplantae; Streptophyta; Magnoliopsida; Poales; Poaceae.
AUGCCGCCCAUGGCGGCGGGGGCGCCGGAUCUGGCGCUGGGCCACGCCCAGCGGGAGGACCGGCCAGUGGUGGGUGGCUACUCUGGACAGGAGUGGAGCACCUUAAGAAGACGGGGGAGGGAGAUCCUUCGCCAUGCUCGUGAUCCGGAGGCUUGCCUGCGUCAUAUGCGGGAUAAAGUGAGUAAGUUUUUCAAUUCAGAGCUAGGCAAGGGGGAUUUGAAGGUGGCCAUGGCUGGGAUGACCGGCGCGGUGACGGAGGCGAAGUUCACGGACUCUGAUUUUGCCAUGAAAGAUGCGGAUCCGGCGAGUAAAGGGGCGGAAGAAACUGCAGUUUCCCUAUGCGUUAAAUCCAAUUUGACCACGGUUAAGGAGGGGCUCCUGGACGAGAUUAAUUUGGGGAUUAAUUCUGUUGAUUUGAGGGCGAAAUUUGGGGGUGAAGACAAGUAUUUGAGGGGCGAGUUUCAGGUUAUGCAACAGGCCAUUUUUCAGUUUCAGCAAGUGUGUUCGUUUCCUGCUCUCUGUUCUUUGUGUCUGAACCAGGUGAACCAGGGGAGGAUGGCAUCCGACAGGGAUCAGCAGCCACCCAACAUGGAAGCUACACGGCUGAAGCCUGCUGGUGCCCAGGGUGAUGAGCUCGGCGCUCCGGCGGUGGACUUGUCCACCCCCCUGCCACAGAGGGGAACCGCUGCUGUUGGGGGUCCGACUGGACUGAUGCUGUCCAUCACCCCCAGCGCCACCAUUGGCUUCUCGGCAGUCCCACAAGAUCCUCCGGCUCCUCGUAGGCAAGGCAAGCAAGUGGCCAUGCUGGCAGACGAGGAGGACGUGCCAAUCGUCAUCGACAUGGAGGCGGCCAUACAGGCAAUGAAGGGCAAGCUCGUCGUGGCUCGGGUGCUGUCGCAGUACCCGGUGGACCACAACGCCGUCAUCAACAGCUUGCGAGGGGCGUGGAGGCUCCGUGGCACUGCGGUCCCUCAACGGGUCACGAGCAGCGAUGGGCGCUUCGUCGUCACGUUCUCCGAGGAGGGGGACCGGCAGCGUGUUCUUCAAGCUGGGUCGUGGCACUACCAGAACGACGCAGUGCUCAUCAAGGACUUCGACGGCGUGGGUAACCCUGUGGACGUGCGCCUAGAUUCUUUAAGUAUCUGGGUGCAAAUUCAUAGGUUGCCCAUCAUCCUCAAGACUGAAGACAUGGGGUGGAAGCUUGGAAAGAAGCUCGGCACCGUCCUCGCCGUGUCGCACCGCAACAAUCAAAUCGUUGACGAGCAUCUCCGUGUUCGUGUUCAGCACCCUGUGGAGAAGCCAUUGAGGAAGAAUGUCGACAUAACCCCAAAAGUGGUGGGACACACGACAGAGAAGUUCUGCAGCAUGCCCAAAGAGCUGCGGAAGGCGUCCUACUCCACCGACAUAAGGGCGCCUCCGUAUUGGGCCUCUGCUCGUAGACAAAUCGAUUUUGGGAAGAAGCCGGUGAAGGACAAGGUGAUCACGGAGGUGGCCUCGGUGGUCAAAAGACUAUACUUGUCUGCUGCUGCAGAUACGACUACGGCGUCAGCUUUGGUGGACGGUUCUGCUCCGGUUGCCACUGACGCACCAAACGCAUUGGAGCAGCUUGUGCUCGUUGGCGGGGGUACCAACAACUCCAGCAAUGGGCCCCCUGUUCAGUUUGCUACUGGAGGCCUGGAGGCGUCCAAUGACAUGGCUGGAGCACUCCUCAACACCAACUCAGGAGCUCCGGCUGGUCAAAUGAGUGAGCUGAUGGAUAAGGGACCUGGGGAGCACCUCCACUCUAACCUGGGUGCUCCUGGGUCUCCUACUGCUGCUGCUAUGGCGUCUAUGCAGAAGCAGCCGCAGAUGGGGGAUGUACAGCCUAUGGAUCAGGCGAAGGCUAAAGCUCAUGGUGGUCGCAAGGGUGCUGCUGCUGAUGGCGUACAACAGCGUGCUCUGGCUACUGCUGGAGUCCAACGAUGGAAGAGGCUUCAUCGAGAAGAGCAGGAAGAGAAGGAGAUGGUGCAAUCUGCAUGUGCUAAACAUGUGGUUUUUGGCAUCCCCACGCCACCAAACAGCGGCAGCGAGCUCUCCAGUCGCAAGAUGAUUUUUGCUGCCAUGCUUGAGAGUACGGCAGGUAGCAAGAGGCGAUCCCCUGAUGACAAAGACUUCGUGUUAAGCAUGAAUAGUACUAGUACUGAAAGUCUAGAGGUUAGGGAUGCUAUGGAUGUGAGUAUGAAUUGUAAAAGAGUGUGUGUUGAGAGAGUUGGUACUAGAGUAGGCAUAGAUGGGUCUACUAUUCAUGUAACUGAAGAGGUAGAUGGGGGAGUGGAGGUGGAUCAGGACAAAAGAAGAGAGUCUGUAGGGGAUGAAAAAGAUGUAGAGGAUGGAAAAGAUGUAGGGAACAAUACUAAGGAAGCAACCGGCCCUGGGGCUGCUGGUCAACUGACGGGCGAGCAUGAUAUCGCCCGUCAGGAGCCAUGA